ACAGGCCCUCCCUCCGUUGCCCAGGUGGGAGUGCAGUGGUGUGAUGUCAGUUCACUGCAACCUUGGCCUCCCGGAUUCAAGCGAUUCUCCUGCCUUAACCUUCCGAACAUGGAUCCCUGAGGUCGGUCCCCAAUACGACAAGACAAUUUGAUAUCAUAAUAGAACACUGCAGAAACAAUGCUGAGUGAAGAAGAGUAGAAAUGGGAAGACUUGGUUGAGCGGAAACUGAGUUCUUGAAAAGAGGAGAUGCUUGAUGAGGAUGGAGUCUUGCUCUGUCGCCCAGCCUGGAGUGCAGCAGCACGAUCUCAGCUCACUGCAUCCUCCGUCUCCCAGGUUGAAGGGAUUCUCUUGUCUCAGCCUCCCGAACAACUGGGACUAAAGGCAUGGAUCCCUGAGGUCUGCCCCAGUACUAUAAGACAAUUUGAUGUAAGAAAACACAGCAGAUAUAAUACUGAGUGAAGAAGAGUAUAAAUGAGAAGAUUGGUUGUGCAGAUACUGAGUUCAUGAAAAGAGGAGAUGAUUGAUGAGGCCAGGUGCGGUGACUCAUGCCUGUAAUCCCUGCACUUUGGGAGGCUGCGGCGGGCGGAUCACCUGAGGUCAGGAGUUCGAGACCAGCCUGGGAGACAGAGCAUGGAAACCUAAGGUCUGUACCCAAAACUACAGGACUAUUUGACAUCAUAAUAAAACACUGCAGAUAUGAUGCUGAGUAAGAGUAGAAAUGGGAAGACUUGGUUGUGCAGUAACUGAGUUCUUGAAAAGAGGAGAUGCUUGAUGAGGGCAUGGAUCACUAAGGUCUGUUCCCAAUACAAGAAGACUCUUUGACAUCAUAAUAAAAUACUGCAGAUACGAUGCUGAGUGAAAAAGAGUAGAAAUGGGAAGACUUGGUUGUGCAGAAACUGAGUUCUUAAAGAGAGGAGAUACUUUAUGAGGCCCGACUCUUAUUCUGUCACCCAGGCUGGAGUGCACUGGAGCAAUCCUGGCUGGCCAAUACUGAGUUCUUGAAAACAGGAGAUGCUUGAUGAGGAUGGGAUCAUCUAGUUGCAGGAAAACAAGGCUCAGGGUGCCUACUGAUUCUACAUUAUGCUUGGUCCGGAGAGCUGCCUUGGACUCUCCAAUGCAGCUGCCUCUGUUACCUUGACUCGUCUCAGAUUUCAUUGACCCAAGAUGGGUCCUGGCACUAGGAAUGUCUUUAGAAAAUAACUUAACUCUUUCAAGCAAUUGCCAAUCAGAAAAUCUUGGAAUCCUCCUAUGACCUUUUGGCUUUUUUAGUCAAUAUUAAUUGGCACCCUACAUAUGGGGCCUCAGAGAAGACUCAGAACCCUGAAAGAGUCACCCAAACCCAGAGCUAAGGUACCAGCAGGGGCCCAUUGAAAGCCCCCCAACUCCAAGCUUCUUCUUGAGUGAAACUGUUGCAGGGCUUUGACUCCUGGGUACAUGUAUCUCAUCUGAAAGGGAAUCCUGACGCCUACUGAAUCUUAAUAGUCAAUAUUGAUAUCUGGCAUCAAAUUCAAGUUGACCAAAGUUCCAUCUUCAGACCUGGGAGAAGAUGACAGUCAAAAUGAACUGCUUUCAUGUGACACUGGACCAGGCCUAUAUACAAAGGCAUAAGUAAUCAUUGAAUAAUGUUUCAUCUAUCUAUCUUAAUAUAAUUUGUUCUAUGCCUUACUAGAUAAAUGUUUAGUUACCUGUGAGUUUUCUUUUCCUGCCAUUGUCAGAGCUAGGCAGGGCUUAAGUCCCUUUCGUUUAAACAUUACUAACUCUAUACAUAGCUUGCAAAAUUGGAUAAAACAACAAAGGUUACUUUUUCACUCUCUCUCUGCUUAAUAUCUCUGAAAUUUAAAACUAUUCAGAAUCCCACUGGGCCCGAUCUAUUUUCAAUGCUAAUGCUCCACUGCUAAAACUAUAUAAGCAUCUUCCCUCUAGGCUCAGGCACUAUCUUGGAAGAGGUAAAUGUGUAAGAUUGUAAAGGUUGAUUUUUGAGCAACAAAAUUAAUUUAGAUCUUCCAAAUAAAAAAUGGGCACACAGAUGCCCAAACAGUUGGCAAAAUAA
This 2050-nucleotide long non-coding RNA is filed under the name Homo sapiens (human). RNAcentral describes it as "firre intergenic repeating RNA element". Lineage: Eukaryota; Metazoa; Chordata; Mammalia; Primates; Hominidae. The record is from RNAcentral.